UUGGUCGGUCUGCGCCCUGGC
Molecule: microRNA, 21 nt
Filed under: Callithrix jacchus (white-tufted-ear marmoset)
Lineage: Eukaryota; Metazoa; Chordata; Mammalia; Primates; Cebidae
Description: cja-miR-9980
Source: miRBase by way of RNAcentral